Molecule: long non-coding RNA, 1730 nt
Organism: Poecilia latipinna (sailfin molly)
Lineage: Eukaryota; Metazoa; Chordata; Actinopteri; Cyprinodontiformes; Poeciliidae
Exons: 2
Source: RefSeq, a predicted model, not a curated record
UAAAUUUAACAUUUCCUUUUUGGCAAAGGUUACGUCUCGCCUCCUUUGACAGCCGAGGGAAGCUGGUCUGCAGUCGCUCCACGGGUUACCAGCUCCUCACCCUGGAGAAGGACCAGGAGUACGUGGUGAUGAACCUGGACAGCCGGCUGCUGUCGUUCCCCCUGUACGUGUGCUGUAACUUCCUGUAUACCUCGCCUCAUUCAGACCACCGUCCAGAUUCCUCGGAGCCAGAAAGCGCCGCUCGCGCUGCGUCUUGAUGGCUUCUGACAGUCACUAGCUGCUACCAUUCCUGUUGACAUGAAGACAUUCACCCAAAGACUAACCGAACUCCUCUUCAGCACACUGACUGCAUGCUUGUGGUGGAGUUUGGGGGUAUUUUCACAUCCAUAUGGGCAGUUUUUGGUACAUUUUGACACCGAGCUGUUCUCAGUGAGGCCCACCAUCUUCUCUUGCCAUGCAUUUAUCCACAAAUGAUCCACUUUUUAAAGUGGAAGGGAGUAGGUGAAAUCUGCUUUUCAGGUUGGGUUUAGGAACUUCAUAGCUUCAAGAUGGGAUGAUAAGCUGGAGGAGGUUUUUUUUAUUUUUAUUUCUGCUUAUUAACUUUUUUUUUAUUUAAAAGUUUAUAUUAGAGCGCUGUCGAAUAAAAAAUGUGAGCUUAACACCACAGGUUUAAAUGGAUUCAUCAUAUAUCAGACCAACUCACUCUCAUCAAAGAAACGGUUCAAAUUUACUAAUGUUUGGUUUAUCAAAAUAUACAUAAAUAUGUGUAAAUUUGAAAAAUAAUCAAAUCUGCCUCAUGUGGACUUGUACAUAUGAAAAUAAUAAGGGAAAAAAAAAGAUUGGCAUGCUGUAGAAGGAAAAUGUCUCUAGUUUAACAUGUUUUUACACUCGUGGUUGCGUGUUUGUUCAAUUUUACAACAGAGCAGCUUCUCAGAACCUGUUUUUUAAUCUUCACCUCGCAUUGAGUGAAGCAGCAUCGUAAAGUCAAGCCAGACUCUUCUGUCUGCUGGGUUGUUCAGAUAUAUUUCCACAGGUUUCCUGCAGUGUUAUUUUCCAUCACUGACGUUCAGUUGGGCUCCUGGUCAUUAUUUAUGGGGGAAGAUGUUUGAAUUACUUGAGUUACAUCUUUAUUCUGAACUCAUAAGAAACACAAAGUAGCCUAAUAGUUACCAAAAUCUGCACAGUUACCUCUUAACUUUGCUUUCAUUCUGCGGAUUUAUUCACUGUCUCUUUGGAUGUGUUUUGAAAAGCUGGGAGAUUCCCAGUUGUAAAUCAGAUGUAUUUUUACCAUUCAUGGAUCUCCAAUGAAUUUGUUUGUACAGCCGUUAUUAUGUGUAAAUUUUGACUUUUUUUAUUUGGGUUUUUAUUUUAUUUUUUUUACCUUUUUAUUUUUGUGGAUGUUUUAUGUUUGCAAAAAGAUACAUUUCUCUUGACUGCCAAUAAAACUGCCCUUCCAUACGGGCCGUGGUGCUAUCAUACAAUCCGAUCUUUUAUUACAGUCUUAUUACAGGUAGACAAACGUGUUUACGAGCAUAAAAGUUAAGAAAUAAAAAAAAUAUGGGGUGAUUUGUCUUGUACUUAUUGUAUUGAGUAAAAGUUUGGACUUCCUGUUCUUUCUCUGUUCAUUUUAGAAAUGUCAAAAUUGUUUAUCAGGUUGUGUUUGAAUCAUUGAAAUAUUCAAAGCAACAGUCAUCCCGAUAAAACAAAUUAAAAGCAAACUGCAUUGAAAG